This 253-nucleotide ribosomal RNA is filed under the name uncultured bacterium. Its description in RNAcentral is "partial 16S ribosomal RNA". It matches the Rfam family "Bacterial small subunit ribosomal RNA", at positions 524 to 776 of the family's 1533-position model. The record is from RNAcentral.
UACGUAGGGUGCAAGCGUUAAUCGGAAUUACUGGGCGUAAAGCGUGCGCAGGCGGUUGUGCAAGACAGAUGUGAAAUCCCCGGGCUUAACCUGGGAACUGCAUUUGUGACUGCACAGCUGGAGUGCGGCAGAGGGGGAUGGAAUUCCGCGUGUAGCAGUGAAAUGCGUAGAUAUGCGGAGGAACACCGAUGGCGAAGGCAGGUCUCUGGGCAUUAACUGACGCUGAGGAGCGAAAGCAUGGGGAGCGAACAGU